CAGAGUUGCAAAACUCCCAACCCUUUGUGAAUCAACUAGACAGUUGCCUCGGCGGGAAGCCCUUUAGGGGGCUGCCCGCCGGAGGACCACUAAACUCUUGUAUUUUGGCCUCUCUGAGUAAUUCUAAAAUGAAUCA
RNAcentral lists this unclassified non-coding RNA (136 nucleotides) under uncultured fungus. RNAcentral's name for it is "sequence contains ITS1". The record is from RNAcentral. Lineage: Eukaryota; Fungi.